GGGUGAGUAAUGCAUCGGAACGUGCCAUUGAGUGGGGGAUAACGUAGCGAAAGUUGCGCUAAUACCGCAUAUUCUGUGAGCAGGAAAGCAGGGGACCGCAAGGCCUUGCGCUCUUUGAGCGGCCGAUGUCAGAUUAGCUAGUUGGUGAGGUAAAGGCUACCAAGGCGACGAUCUGUAGCGGGUCUGAGAGGAUGAUCCGCCACACUGGAACUGAGACACGGUCCAGACUCCUACGGGAGGCAGCAGUGGGGAAUUUUGGACAAUGGGGGCAACCCUGAUCCAGCCAUGCCGCGUGAGUGAAGAAGGCCUUCGGGUUGUAAAGCUCUUUCGGCCGGGAAGAAAUCGCAUGGGCCAAUACCCUGUGUGGAUGACGGUACCGGAAUAAGAAGCACCGGCUAACUACGUGCCAGCAGCCGCGGUAAUACGUAGGGUGCGAGCGUUAAUCGGAAUUACUGGGCGUAAAGCGUGCGCAGGCGGUUUUGUAAGACAGGCGUGAAAUCCCCGGGCUUAACCUGGGAACUGCGUUUGUGACUGCAAGGCUAGAGUACGGCAGAGGGGGGUGGAGUUCCACGUGUAGCAGUGAAAUGCGUAGAGAUGUGGAGGAACACCAAUGGCGAAGGCAGCCCCCUGGGUCGAUACUGACGCUCAUGCACGAAAGCGUGGGUAGCAAACAGGAUUAGAUACCCUGGUAGUCCACGCCCUAAACUAUGUCAACUAGGUGUUGGGUGGGUAAAACCAUUUAGUACCGUAGCUAACGCGUGAAGUUGACCGCCUGGGGAGUACGGCCGCAAGGUUAAAACUCAAAGGAAUUGACGGGGACCCGCACAAGCGGUGGAUGAUGUGGAUUAAUUCGAUGCAACGCGAAAAACCUUACCUACCCUUGACAUGCCAGGAACUUGCCAGAGAUGGCUUGGUGCCCGAAAGGGAGCCUGGACACAGGUGCUGCAUGGCUGUCGUCAGCUCGUGUCGUGAGAUGUUGGGUUAAGUCCCGCAACGAGCGCAACCCUUGUCGUUAAUUGCCAUCAUUUAGUUGGGCACUUUAACGAGACUGCCGGUGACAAACCGGAGGAAGGUGGGGAUGACGUCAAGUCCUCAUGGCCCUUAUGGGUAGGGCUUCACACGUCAUACAAUGGUCGGCACAAAGGGUUGCCAAGCCGCGAGGCGGAGCCAAUCCCAGAAAGCCGAUCGUAGUCCGGAUUGCAGGCUGCAACUCGCAUGCAUGAAGUCGGAAUCGCUAGUAAUCGUGGAUCAGCAUGUCACGGUGAAUACGUUCCCGGGUCUUGUACACACCGCCCGUCACACCAUGGGAGCGGGUUCCGCCAGAAGUAGGUAGCCUAACCGCAAGGGGGGCGCUUACCACGGCGGGGUUCGUGACUGGGGUGAAGUCGUAACAAGGUA
Molecule: ribosomal RNA, 1398 nt
Filed under: metagenome
Description: bacterial SSU rRNA
Rfam family: Bacterial small subunit ribosomal RNA
Source: RNAcentral